AUUGAACGCUGGCGGCAUGCUUUACACAUGCAAGUCGAACGGCAGCGCGGGGCAACCUGGCGGCGAGUGGCGAACGGGUGAGUAAUAUAUCGGAACGUACCCAAGAGUGGGGGAUAACGUAGCGAAAGUUACGCUAAUACCGCAUACGAUCUCAGGAUGAAAGCAGGGGACCGCAAGGCCUUGUGCUCCUGGAGCGGCCGAUAUCUGAUUAGCUAGUUGGGAGGUAAAGGCUCACCAAGGCGACGAUCAGUAGCUGGUCUGAGAGGACGACCAGCCACACUGGAACUGAGACACGGUCCAGACUCCUACGGGAGGCAGCAGUGGGGAAUUUUGGACAAUGGGCGAAAGCCUGAUCCAGCAAUGCCGCGUGAGUGAAGAAGGCCUCGGUUGUAAG
Molecule: ribosomal RNA, 394 nt
Filed under: uncultured bacterium
Lineage: Bacteria
Description: bacterial SSU rRNA
Rfam family: Bacterial small subunit ribosomal RNA
Source: RNAcentral